Synchiropus splendidus (mandarinfish) is the source of this 1468-nucleotide RNA transcript. It is a transcript of the gene named adenylate cyclase activating polypeptide 1a, with no coding region annotated. Lineage: Eukaryota; Metazoa; Chordata; Actinopteri; Syngnathiformes; Callionymidae. The transcript is spliced from 6 exons. The record is from RefSeq and is a predicted model, not a curated record.
CUCAGUGAUAGAAGUUCACGGGACGCAGGAAAGUUGCGCGCAAAUGUUUGCCAGCGCAUGAGACCAGAGCAGAGCAGAGCACUGAACCUGGAGACCUGCACGCUUGGAACUGACCAUAGGCUUCAGUGAGGGUGCAGAGGAACAGGAGCGAGAGGAGAGAGAGUUUCUAUCUCGCUCUCUCAUCUGAGGUCUUUCUGCGGAUCGCUUCACAACGCAACCGCAGGAAAAUGUGCAGGAAAGUGACUUUAGCCUUACUCAUCUAUGGAAUCAUAAUGCAGCAAAGCGUCUCCUGCUCACCUGUGGGGUUUAGCUUUCCAAACGUUAGACUUGACAGUGAGAUUUAUGACGACGGAGGAAACUCCCUUCAGUCGUUGGACUACGGCAGAGAUGAACUGGAUGUGAGAAAUUCUCCGUCUGCCAACAACGGCCUCUACUCUCUUUAUUUUCCUCAAGAGAAAAGAAUGGAAAGACAUGCGGACGGCAUGUUUAAUAAAGCCUACAGGAAAGCGCUGGGUCAGUUAUCAGCAAGGAAAUAUCUGCAUUCUCUGAUGGCAAAACGUGUAGGUGGAGGGAAAACCAUGGACGACAGCUCAGAGCUUCUGACCAAGCGACACUCAGAUGGGAUCUUCACAGACAGCUACAGCCGCUAUCGGAAGCAGAUGGCGGUGAAGAAAUACCUGGCAGCCGUCCUCGGGAAAAGGUAUAGACAGAGAAUUAGAAACAAAGGACGCCGGCUGACGUAUUUGUAGCAUCCUUCCCAUCUGAAAAGAAAAUAAAUGUGUGAGCUACACCAGUCAUUUUGAGAUCUGAACAAACGCUUUCGUGUUCCAAACGUGUAUUUAUGUAUGAAGUAAGCCAUUACAAAUGAAUAUUUUGAUAUAAUACUGUUUUUAUUUUCUACUUAAAGCACUUCUGGUCGCACCUAUCGACUCGUGGACCAACUUCUUCUUUUGUUUAACGAAAGCCUUUAUUUGUGUACUUGACGAGAUUUAUUUCCCGAAGCAGGGAGACAGCUCUUACCAUGACGAUAAGAUCAGUCAGCCCUGUCUUUUUAACAUUUAGAGACAUGUCUGUGAGGAAAAUAAAUAGUCUGACAAUCAAUGUUUUGAAAUCUGCCACUCAUUUGUGUCAUUAAGAGUUUAGUUGUGUGUGUCCACAACAGCCCUGAAGACGUAGGUUUGCUCCAAAUCCUACAAGACAUAGACUUUGACGCCCUCCAGGACGUAGAUGAGUUUAUGGCUUUUUUGGGAGUUUGGCUGAAACAAUCCCACCCUGAAAUCCUGGCUUUGUGACGCAGGAAGUUUUCGGCUGCGGUGCCUUGCAUGGACUUAAUACUGGCCAUGAAUGACAGAUGGCUAUUUAGUGGCCCUACAAUGCUGCACAUCAUCAGCUCAAAUAUUUUGGUUGUUGCUUUGUUUUGUGUUGCAUUUUUUUUUCGUUGCGUUUUCAGUAAUGUAGGUUUGUGUGA